This 109-nucleotide ribosomal RNA is filed under the name Microbacterium trichothecenolyticum. The record is from RNAcentral. Lineage: Bacteria; Bacillati; Actinomycetota; Actinomycetes; Micrococcales; Microbacteriaceae.
GGCGGCCAUAGCGAGAGGGAAACGCCCGGUCCCAUUCCGAACCCGGAAGCUAAGCCUCUCAGCGCCGAUGGUACUGCAGGGGGGACCCUGUGGGAGAGUAGGACACCGC